This 393-nucleotide unclassified non-coding RNA is filed under the name fungal sp. Its description in RNAcentral is "partial internal transcribed spacer region". The stretch from base 1 to 46 matches the Rfam family "Eukaryotic small subunit ribosomal RNA", at positions 1786 to 1831 of the family's 1831-position model. Lineage: Eukaryota; Fungi. The record is from RNAcentral.
AAGUCGUAACAAGGUUUCCGUAGGUGAACCUGCGGAAGGAUCAUUAUGAAUUGCGUUAGUUUCUCUUUACCGAGAGGCUAAUUCUUUUCUGUGAACUGGGUGUGACUCGCCCUCUUCUCUUUGUCGUUUGUCUUCAUUGCUUUUCGUUCGCGUUGGGUAUUGUGAGGCAAGCGGGAAAGGGGGAAGAGAGUGAGUUGUGCCGGGUGCGUGUGACUUUGUUUCUCUCUUUUCGCGUUUUCGUUUUGGUUGCCUUUCGCUUGCGUUGGGCAGCCGAGAUGGAGACGUUGGAAGUGGAGGAGCGAGUCGUGCGCACUGCCAUUUGUAGUCUGUUGUGUUCUGUUCUUAAAGUUUUCUGUAAAAAGACAACUUUCAGCAAUGGAUCUCUUGGCUCUU